This 492-nucleotide ribosomal RNA is filed under the name uncultured bacterium. RNAcentral describes it as "partial 16S ribosomal RNA". It matches the Rfam family "Bacterial small subunit ribosomal RNA", at positions 29 to 507 of the family's 1533-position model. The record is from RNAcentral.
AGUGAACGCUGGCGGUAGGCCUAACACAUGCAAGUCGAACGGCAGCACAGUAAGAGCUUGCUCUUACGGGUGGCGAGUGGCGGACGGGUGAGGAAUACAUCGGAAUCUACUUUUUCGUAGGGGAUAACGUAGGGAAACUUACGCUAAUACCGCAUACGACCUACGGGUGAAAGCAGGGGAUCUUCGGACCUUGCGCGAUUGAAUGAGCCGAUGUCGGAUUAGCUAGUUGGCGGGGUAAAGGCCCACCAAGGCGACGAUCCGUAGCUGGUCUGAGAGGAUGGUCAGCCACACGGGAAGUGAGACAGGGUCCAGACUACUAAGGGAGGCAGCAGUGGCGAAUAUUGGACAGUGGGCGGAAGCCUGAUCCAGCCAGACCGCGUGUGUGAAGAAGGCGUUCGGGUUGUAAAGACGGUUUGUUGGGAAAGAAAAGCAGCAGGUUAAGAACAAGCGGAUCUGACGGUACCCAAAGAAUAAGCACCGGCUAACUUCGUG